CCUACGGGUGGCAGCAGUGAGGAAUAUUGGUCAAUGGACGAGAGUCUGAACCAGCCAAGUAGCGUGAAGGAUGACUGCCCUAUGGGUUGUAAACUUCUUUUAUAUGGGAAUAAAAUGUUCCACGUGUGGGAUUUUGUAUGUACCAUAUGAAUAAGGAUCGGCUAACUCCGUGCCAGCAGCCGCGGUAAUACGGAGGAUCCGAGCGUUAUCCGGAUUUAUUGGGUUUAAAGGGAGCGUAGGUGGAUUGUUAAGUCAGUUGUGAAAGUUUGCGGCUCAACCCGAAAAUUGCAGUUGAAACUGGGAGUCCUGAGGAACGGAAAGGUUGGCGGAAUUCGUGGUGUAGCGGUGAAAUGCUUAGAUAUCACGAAGAACUCCGAUUGCGAAGGCAGUUCACUGGACUGCAACUGACACUGAGGCUCGAAAGUGUGGGUAUCAAACAGGAUUAGAUACCCGUGUAGUC
Molecule: ribosomal RNA, 460 nt
Filed under: uncultured bacterium
Lineage: Bacteria
Description: partial 16S ribosomal RNA
Rfam family: Bacterial small subunit ribosomal RNA
Source: RNAcentral